This 253-nucleotide ribosomal RNA is filed under the name uncultured bacterium. Its description in RNAcentral is "partial 16S ribosomal RNA". It matches the Rfam family "Bacterial small subunit ribosomal RNA", at positions 524 to 776 of the family's 1533-position model. The record is from RNAcentral.
UACGUAGGGGGCUAGCGUUGUCCGGAAUCAUUGGGCGUAAAGCGCGUGUAGGCGGCCCGGUAAGUCCGCUGUAAAAGUCAAAGGCUCAACCUUUGAAUGUCAGUGGAUACUGUCGGGCUAGAGUCCGGAAGAGGCGAGUGGAACUCCUGGUGUAGCGGUGAAAUGCGUAGAUAUCUGGAGGAACACCGGUGGCGAAGGCGGCAUCCUGGACCAACACUGACACUGAAAAGCGAAAGCCAGGGGAGCAAACGGG